This 374-nucleotide unclassified non-coding RNA is filed under the name Hevea brasiliensis (rubber tree). Lineage: Eukaryota; Viridiplantae; Streptophyta; Magnoliopsida; Malpighiales; Euphorbiaceae. The record is from RNAcentral.
UAGUAGUAGUAGUAAUUCUUACCUUGCCCACAUAGAUAAUUUGAUAUAUUCAUUGCAUGGUUCUUAAUAACAGGUGGUGAAGAUCUUGUUAGUUAACAUCCCAUGUUAACGUUUUACUACAGUUCAGGAAACAACAUGGAUAGAUUACAUAGUUAUCUCAAGAUUAUCAUCAGUCAUCAGUUAAAGAAAUGAAUUACCAAAUGUGUGAGUAAAUUCCCUGAUGAGAGUUCUUUGACGGGUUUGGAAGGUGGCCGAUGGUGGUCCUAACAAUCUAAUUCAGAAAUUCCUUAAUACAAGUAUAAAGCUUUUCCUGGGUUUACUGAAUUCCCCUGGUAAGUUUUAGGGGUAUGAUCACAGCUACUAAUUCGGGGAAA